UUGUUAGGAGGACCAAGUGGUGGUCCCUUUUCAUUGAUAUAUUCAUUCAUGUAACCUUGUGUAGUGAGAAGAGAGAAGGAAAGAGAGGCAAGAGGUCUGUGUCAAUAGCUGUAAGGAAGGGCCAAAACUCACCAUUAAAUACUCCAUCUAUGACACAGUACAACAGAGUGGGGGAAGAAGAGAGAGGUGCAUUUAUAUAAAUGGAGAGGGAGAGUCACGAGGAUUCCCCUACCUAAAACAUGCACAGCUCGUGCUCUCCUUUGUCAAUCUUUAGGUGAGAAAUUAAGUUUCUGCUUCUUUCCCUUUAAAUUAGACCUCUUAGUUUUCCAAAUUUCCCAAAAAAGGCCAAACCUCACUCCCCCCGUUUUGGUUCUUCCUUCAAUUUGUCUAAUAUGUUGGUUUGAGAGGUUGAAGCUGCCAGCAUGAUCUGGUAAUGAACGUGUUACUCUCAUUUAUAUAUAUAUAUAUAUUAACAUUAAUCAUAUAGCAGUAUUUGUAGGUAGAAAAAAUUUAAUGUUGUCAAAGAUAUAUACUGAAUCGUGGUAGCUAGGUUUGUAUUACUAGUUUAGGAUGCAAGUUUUUGAUCUUAUGAUGAUCAAUUGCUUGUGAGUUCUUUGGCAAUGAAAACAGAAUAUACUGGUGAUUUUUCCCAGUAAAAUUGUCGAGAAAAGGGAAUUGCACUAAUAGGGAAGACGCAUAGGUAAACUUGUACCUAAAUGGUAUAUGUAUUUUCCAGGCAAAAGGGUAGAAACCUAAUUAGAAACUAGCUUGAACUCAGAGCUAUAAAAGUAUAUGGUUCCAUCAGGUCAUCUUGCAGCUUCAAUCACUCACUCACAAACAGCGAAGAGAUUCUGAAACAUGCUUUUCUGGGGUCUAAUUUGCUCUCACAGAGUCACAAGUGCCUCAUACCAGGAGACAAAAGGUGGUACAAAUUUGGUUUCAUCCUUAAUUGCACACGGUUAGGGGUCCAGCUUGGUGUUGGUGACCCACAAUUCUGAACAGACAUUGACAAACCUACACAGGAUGUUACAUUCAUCUGUUGGAUAAUUAGCAUUCUGUGGUUUCCCAGAUUAUAAAUUGCAGUGAGUUUCCUCACAUAGUAUUAAUUAGUACUCCAACAGCACUUCCACAUAAGGUGGCAGUUGGGGCAUUUUUAUGGAGUACUUAUGCUUCAUAAGCAUUUUGCUGAUUCGAUCUCUUUAUCAGACAUUCAAGCAUAACAUCAGAAGUUUCUGUGAGAUUGUUGUUUUUCCCUUUUAUUCUUCAAUAUUCUGUAUCUCAAGAGUUUCCAAAAAGAUUCAAUCCAAAACAAGGCUCCUUGGCAUGAUGUUGUAUAGCUCAUUAAUUGCCAUGCACACAUCUUGUAGUCUUACGGAGACAAAAGCUUAGAUUUAUUGCUUCAAAUAAUAGGAAUCUUUUGGUUAAAAUUAAUUUUGUAACCUAACAAAAUAAAAUGGAGAAAUAAGUUUUUUAUAUCCAACUCUACAUAUCUAAUUUCAGGCCAAGAUACGGAUAAGUUGUAUCAUGAAUAUUGCACCAACAUAAAAGAGCGCUUGAAUUUUAUUAGUAGGUGUUAAUUAAAGAAUAUAAGGGAUAGGAAUAUAGGCCUCAUAGGGCAUAUCUUAAUUAUGUAAAAUAAAAAUGGAUUGUAAUGUUUUGAUAUCAGCUGUAUGAAAAGUUAGUUAAUCACUGAUAUCAAGUUUUGGUGAUCAUGGACAAGCGUGUGACUUUUUCCCUUCAAGUUGUUGUCAAGACAGGGAGACCACUUGCUUUUAGUCUCUUCAUACCUGCAAAAGAUGCUUCCAGUUGUAAUUUCUUGGCUUUAUUCUUCAUGUACUAAUUUAAAAGAUUUGAUUUGCCUAAUUAAGCAGUGGUGGUGUUCAAUUAAUUUGUCGAAAAGGGAAUAUUUAGUAGUGUUGGUUGGAUUUUUCCAUGAAAAACCAACUUCGAUUGAUGUGAUUGGGUGAUAACAUGGAUUAGAUUGUUGCCAUUUUAUUUCCUUCAGUUCUUUUUUCUCAUUUUUAUCAUGACUAUGGCAUCUGAAGAUCGGAUUCACUGUUUUGGCACCUUAUAGACAGCUAAUUUCUGUCCUUGAUUGCUAAAUAUUCUAGUUCCAAGUGUAGAUAUAUAUUCUUUAAUUCCUUGGUCUAUCAUGUUUCUACCAGAAAAACAAUGGGAUAUCAGUGAUAUUUCAAUGACAAUGAGAUUAUAGUUUGUGGUAGAGCUUGCUUUCAAGUAUACUUAAGAAUAAAAACUGUUGCGAAAAUGCUGUUCUUAAUUUUCUUUAUUUCUCGUGUUCUUGCUUUAAUCAUACACUGUAGUUAGGGAUACAUCAGUUUUAAUAUGAAAGGGCAGAUACUGGCUUGUUUUUCCCUAAUAAAAAGUUAAGGAAUUUCAGCUACCAUCUUUUGGAGGAUUUGUUUGUGUACAUAUAUUUUUCAUUAGCCUUUAUCUUUUAUUUUUAUCUUGAAAUCCCAUCAAUAAAUAUAGUACUUUUGACAGCAGCACAAUAAAUUAAUUACAUUGGGAGCCACUUUUGUUUUCAUCUCUAGAGCUGCAUGCCUGCUAGUAGGAAAGUCACUUGAUUUCAAAAACUAAUUAUGACUUACUAAUACAAUUUGAUUGAUCUGUGAAGCUCAUUGCUCGUCUUUUGGAGCUUAGAUUAGUGUUAUAGCUAGAAUGCCAGGGGUGACUUGAAGAUCUACAUGGAACAGCAGGUAAGUUCAUCAUUUUUUUUAUGAUGAUUUUGUGUUUCAUUUAGACCUUUUCAAUCUAGAUACCCUCUGUGAUGAAUUGCAUAUUUUUAUGUAUUAAUUACCUAUUUAUUUUGAGAGGGAUAUUGUAUUGAUUUGAGAGUUCAAAUUACUAGCUAGAAAA
Molecule: long non-coding RNA, 2877 nt
Organism: Populus trichocarpa (black cottonwood)
Lineage: Eukaryota; Viridiplantae; Streptophyta; Magnoliopsida; Malpighiales; Salicaceae
Exons: 2
Source: RefSeq, a predicted model, not a curated record